AUUGAACGCUGGCGGCAUGCUUUACACAUGCAAGUCGAACGGCAGCGCGGGCUACGGCCUGGCGGCGCGUGGCGAACGGGUGAGUAAUGCAUCGGAACGUGCCCAGGAGUGGGGGAUAGCCCGGCGAAAGCCGGAUUAAUACCGCAUCCGCCCUGAGGGUGAAAGCGGGGGACCGAAAGGCCUCGCGCUAUUGGCGCGGCCGAUGUCGGAUUAGCUAGUUGGUGGGGUAAAGGCUUACCAAGGCGACGAUCCGUAGCUGGUCUGAGAGGACGACCAGCCACACUGGGACUGAGACACGGCCCAGACUCCUACGGGAGGCAGCAGUGGGGAAUUUUGGACAAUGGGGGCAACCCUGAUCCAGCCAUGCCGCGUGUAGGAAGAAGGCCUUCGGGUUGUAAACUGCUUUUGUUCGGGAAGAAAGGCGCUGGGCUAAUACCCCGGGGGAAUGACGUUACCGGAAGAAGAAGCACCGGCUAACUACGUG
This 484-nucleotide ribosomal RNA is filed under the name uncultured bacterium. Its description in RNAcentral is "partial 16S ribosomal RNA". It matches the Rfam family "Bacterial small subunit ribosomal RNA", at positions 28 to 507 of the family's 1533-position model. The record is from RNAcentral.